CUCUGAACUUCUGAGAAUUCUCUGAAGAAUUGAAGGGCACAUAGUCAUUGGCAGUGGAGUUUGUGUUAGCUGACUCACCUCUGUGCCUAGAUAGACAACACCAAAAUACACACCGAACAACAGUAAGCACCAUCUGCAUAAAAUAUCAGAGAAAGAAAUCUUAAAUCAGCCCCCAAAUCCAGGUCCUCAUUCCCACUUUCGUGUCAAUGAAGAGAACAGAAAUAAGAUAAGCCAGAGAAAUAAGAACUCUGUAACCUCUGCCCCAUUGGAAGUUGAACCCAUCCCAAUAUAAGCAGUGUUUUUCCUGCCUUUUCUUAUCUUUAGGUUUCAUAGGCUAAACCUGAAAAAUCUAUUUGUUAUUGAUCUCAGAAAGGUCAUUUUUCCCUUUUCUCUCUCCAGAAAUGUUAACUAAUAUGUAGCUGGUACAUUUCAACUAUGGUUCUCACACAGUUGGUAGAUUUGAACCAAGUUUUCAGAAUUCCAUCUCCCCUUUCUUUCCUAUACUUCCCACUCUUAAAGGUGAAGAAAUUCCAGCACAAAUUAUUUAGUACAACUAGGCUGUGUCAGUAAAUGGAAUCAAGUCUCAAAGGUUUUGUGCUUUGAUAUAUUUUCAGUACAUAGAAAUGGUGGCAAUAAAAUGAAAUUAUUUUCUGCAUCCACAAAGGUUUCCAAGUCAUGAUUCUGUAAUACCAAGAGUGUUACCACUUUAUUUGGA
This is a long non-coding RNA of Lynx canadensis (Canada lynx), 715 nucleotides long. RefSeq lists it as uncharacterized. The record is from RefSeq and is a predicted model, not a curated record. Lineage: Eukaryota; Metazoa; Chordata; Mammalia; Carnivora; Felidae. The transcript has 3 exons.